UAGGCUAUUUGUAACCGCGAAUUUUUGGUAACAUAUCUAGUGCUAUAGGGAACCUACUAGACCAAAAAGAAGGAUUUGCUUCCCUAUAGCACUGGAGUUGCCUCCAUUGCACACAAAGUUGCCCAAAAAAGUUUAUCAAAACAUGUCCACAUGGGAUAUAGUUUCAAAAAAGUCAUUAGAAACUCAAUGGUGAAAGAGGAUCUGAAUUCUAAAGCGGCUGUGAUUGGUUUAGGUGUCAUAGUCGCGUACAAUCAACCAUAAGGUUGUCUAAAAUCAUUUAUCCAUAUGUCCACAAUCAACCAUACAAUUGUCUGAAACCAUGUAUGCAGUUGCCCACAAUCAACCAUACAAGUUGUCUAAAACCAUGUACUCAAUCCUCAUGAACGGAAACAUUACCAAGCCCAUUGACUAAUACCUAAAGAUUUUGGAGGUGAAUCUAGUCAAGUGGUAUUCAUGGUAACCGACUUAGAAGAAUCCUUCACUAAUAGGUAGUCAUAUUAGGGGGAAAGGAGUUGCUUGCCUAUAGCACUAAAGUUGCCUCUAUAGCACACAAAGUUUCUCAAGAAAAGUUAAUUGAAACCUAUUCAUAUGAGAUCUAGUUUGAAGAACUCGUCGCGAGGAACCCAAUAGUAAUAACGGAUCUAAGUUCUGACACUCGAAUCAAAAGUUAUGAUUUUUUGAAUUUUUUGAGACGCUAAUAAAUGCACGCAAUUUUCUUUUUGGGCUGUCCUCGCUAGCCGCUUGCGAGAUUAAAUAGAUGGCUCAACUUUAUUUUAUUUUAGGGAAGAUUCAUUAAAUCAAAACUUGUAAGACGGUUGGGGGUCUUCAAGGUCUGGUCAAAAACGUUGUGAAAUACCCCUGAGAAAACAUAGUACAUUGACUUUUAAGCUGAAAUUGUGAAGACUACGGAUGGUUGACAAGUUGUGAAUGCACAUACAUUCGUAGGACAAGUGAUGCUUCACAACAUAAGAUGGGUGUAGAUUUUCAUCUUAACUUUACUCUAACAAUCCGUUUUAGCGAAUUUAAUCUAACAAAUUGCUGUGUGCGUGAGCCAGUUACGUACAAGUGCUUGAAGCUCUAUACUUUACAUCUCAAUGAAACACUUCAUAGAUUUGGCUCCUCUUCCUGGUUUUUGAGUUUAUAUAAACCAUUGCAACUAUGAAUGUAAGAUAUCCACGUUCCUUUAUGCAGUUGUACAUAGGUUGCCACUUCACUUGAAUCUGACAAGUUACUGGAUGCGUGAGCCAACCACAUACAUGUGCCGGUAGCUGGAUACUUUACAAACAAUUCAUUGAUUUCUCUCCUCAUCCUUAUUUGGGAGUUUAUAUAAACCAUUGCAAGAACCGUGAAUAUAAAAUGUCCAUGUUCCCUUUAUGCACUUCUAGAUAGGUUGAGAUGGUGGAAUGACUAGCUAAUUUGCACCAGGAUGAAUGGUAUCAUAAGGUACUAACUAUUAGGCUUGGGAGGUUUUAGGACAACCAUUUCUAGCGGGAGUGGACUACUAUGUUGCUUCAUAUCAAAAUCAACAUAAAGGUCUGGAAGAUCUUGCACAUGUCAUUGCUGUCAUUCUUGCGGGUGCGAGCCCUGCCUGGCCCUGAAAGGAUCGUUGUGCACCGCACAAUGCAGGCGCCAUGCGUCCUGCGAGACCAACUGUCGCCAGCAGGAGGUGGCUUGCUUCUUCGGCUGCAACGAGUCUGCCGACGACUCAGGUUGUUGAACUAUGGCACAGAUGCAGAGCACUGUGCAAGCUGGGUCUCGCUGGUUCUCUAGCCGGGAAUCCUAACUGACUGCUAGCAAGAGUCAUUUUUCUACCAUACUGCUAGGCACUUGAUGUACCGCUCUUACUUUCACCGCAUGUGGUUACUUUGAUAUUUGUUCCAUGUUUUAUGAUAUUUGCCGAAGUUUGUCCUGUUUUAGAUUAUUACUUCAUGAUUUUUUAAGUUCUUUUCUUAUGUUUCAAAAUGUAUCGAAUAUUUUGUUGUCACUAACAAAACUACUAAGAAAUAAUUGCACUCUUUAACAAAACAUAAAGGUAUCUUCAACACCCACGAUCAAAUCACUUAUAACCGUCUGGACAGCGUGGUCCGGUUAUGUUUUGUUUCUAAAGGGGUCCAGCAUCGCUCCGCUCGACGGUCUGGAUUGGCUUCUUCAACCCCAUGUGCAC
RNAcentral lists this long non-coding RNA (2164 nucleotides) under Hordeum vulgare. Its description in RNAcentral is "long non-coding RNA (HVUL_LNC000108)". The record is from RNAcentral. Lineage: Eukaryota; Viridiplantae; Streptophyta; Magnoliopsida; Poales; Poaceae.